Nematolebias whitei (Rio pearlfish) is the source of this 217-nucleotide long non-coding RNA. RefSeq lists it as uncharacterized. The record is from RefSeq and is a predicted model, not a curated record. The transcript has 3 exons. Lineage: Eukaryota; Metazoa; Chordata; Actinopteri; Cyprinodontiformes; Rivulidae.
UUACACCGUGGGCUCCUACGACAGCUUUGAUGCCUCAAGUGACUGCGUGGUGGAUGAGAAGACCGUGGUGCUCCAGAAGAAGGAGAACGAGGGCUUCGGCUUCGUCCUGCGAGGGGCUAAAGCUGACACACCCAUUGAGGAGUUUACACCAACACCGGCCUUCCCAGCGCUGCAGUACCUGGAGUCAGUGGAUGAGGGUGGGGUGGCAUGGCAGGCG